GAUGAACGCUGGCGGCGUGCCUAAUACAUGCAAGUCGAGCGAACAGACGAGGAGCCUGCUCCUCUGACGUUAGCGGCGGACGGGUGAGUAACACGUGGAUAACCUACCUAUAAGACUGGGAUAACUUCGGGAAACCGGAGCUAAUACCGGAUAAUAUAUUGAACCGCAUGGUUCAAUAGUGAAAGACGGUUUUGCUGUCACUUAUAGAUGGAUCCGCGCCGCAUUAGCUAGUUGGUAAGGUAACGGCUUACCAAGGCAACGAUGCGUAGCCGACCUGAGAGGGUGAUCGGCCACACUGGAACUGAGACACGGUCCAGACUCCUACGGGAGGCAGCAGUAGGGAAUCUUCCGCAAUGGGCGAAAGCCUGAAGGAGCAACGCCGCGUGAGUGAUGAAGGUCUUCGGAUCGUAAAACUCUGUUAUUAGGGAAGAACAAAUGUGUAAGUAACUAUGCACGUCUUGACGGUACCUAAUCAGAAAGCCACGGCUAACUACGUG
This 497-nucleotide ribosomal RNA is filed under the name uncultured bacterium. RNAcentral's name for it is "partial 16S ribosomal RNA". It matches the Rfam family "Bacterial small subunit ribosomal RNA", at positions 28 to 507 of the family's 1533-position model. The record is from RNAcentral.